RNAcentral lists this ribosomal RNA (465 nucleotides) under Vreelandella stevensii. RNAcentral's name for it is "partial 16S ribosomal RNA". It matches the Rfam family "Bacterial small subunit ribosomal RNA", at positions 338 to 795 of the family's 1533-position model. Lineage: Bacteria; Pseudomonadati; Pseudomonadota; Gammaproteobacteria; Oceanospirillales; Halomonadaceae. The record is from RNAcentral.
CCUACGGGAGGCUGCAGUGGGGAAUAUUGGACAAUGGGCGAAAGCCUGAUCCAGCCAUGCCGCGUGUGUGAAGAAGGCCUUCGGGUUGUAAAGCACUUUCAGUGGGGAAGAAAGCCUUGGGGCUAAUACCCUCGAGGAAGGACAUCACCCACAGAAGAAGCACCGGCUAACUCCGUGCCAGCAGCCGCGGUAAUACGGAGGGUGCGAGCGUUAAUCGGAAUUACUGGGCGUAAAGCGCGCGUAGGCGGUCUGAUAAGCCGGUUGUGAAAGCCCCGGGCUCAACCUGGGAACGGCAUCCGGAACUGUCAGGCUAGAGUGCAGGAGAGGAAGGUAGAAUUCCCGGUGUAGUGGUGAAAUGCGUAGAGAUCGGGAGGAAUACCAGUGGCGAAGGCGGUCUUCUGGACUGACACUGACGCUGAGGUGCGAAAGCGUGGGUAGCAAACAGGAUUAGAUACCCUGGUAGUC